This 994-nucleotide long non-coding RNA is filed under the name Musa acuminata (dwarf banana). RNAcentral describes it as "long non-coding RNA (MACU_LNC004349)". Lineage: Eukaryota; Viridiplantae; Streptophyta; Magnoliopsida; Zingiberales; Musaceae. The record is from RNAcentral.
ACAUCAAGCUAAUAUACCAGAACAGCAAUGAAGCUAUGUCGAGAUAUAGGCAUUGUAUAGAUACUGUUGCAUACAUGUCAUAGAAAGAUAUGGAUUGUAAACCUUAACGAUGCACGAGAACCACAAGAACAAACAAACUAAACAUACCACCUACUGUUCACCAGGUGGAACAAUGUCUGAGACCAGAAGCAUGGAAUUAUAAUCUUGGAAGGUACAGACACAUAUAAAAAUUGGCAAAGAACUGAGUACAGAGAUUAAAAAUAUACAAAAGGAAGUCUGCCUUAGAACAUCUCAUCAGGGAGGAACCAGAAUUUUCUAAUAGAACCAACAGCAAAACUAGUAACACUUUGGAUCUUCUGCUACGUGAAAAUGAAAAUGACUCGACUUAAGGGAGCAUCUACACGCGUUUACACCUUCUAACUAGAAGAAGGACAGAUUUGAGAUUCUAAAUCACCAAAGAGAUAUAGGACAAUGAAUAAGAAUCUAUAGUCAGGUUUUAGUUGAACCGCUUAUGCCAUACCGCCAGGGAUACAAGCUUGAAUCAAUCUACUAGCUAAACAUGGAGAGAAUUAAACGUGUUUUAAGGAGAAUUAAAUCUGACACGCCGAGCAGAUCCUCAGCUACGCUGCAAAAGUUCACGAUCUAUAGUCACUCCAUCCAGCUCAAAGUAAGGUAACAGAAGAUCAACAAAAGGGAACUGGAUUUGUUCAAGCUACCACCUUUUCCACCUUAAAACCCAUGGAUCGAGCAAAACCAGAAACCAACAAUAAAUUUCGUUCAAGGGUUUAGCCAAUUCGAAGCCGACAGAAGCAUCAACAACUCCAACACGGCGCCGACCAUCGAGAUCGGCUCGAAUCAUUCAUUCUCGAAACAAGCAAAACAGAGCUGUAACCAGGGAAAAAGAACGGAUACUUUGUACCAAUACAAGUUGCAGGCAACGCACAAGACGAACGCGGAUCAAAAACAUCAAACGGAAGAAAAGAUUGCUCACCGU